Molecule: ribosomal RNA, 478 nt
Filed under: uncultured bacterium
Lineage: Bacteria
Description: partial 16S ribosomal RNA
Rfam family: Bacterial small subunit ribosomal RNA
Source: RNAcentral
GACGAACGCUGGCGGCGUGCUUAACACAUGCAAGUCGAACGGUAAGGCCCUUCGGAGUACACGAGUGGCGAACGGGUGAGUAACACGUGGGUGAUCUGCCCUGCACUUCGGGAUAAGCCUGGGAAACUGGGUCUAAUACCGGAUAGGACUCCGGACUGCAUGGUCUGGGGUGGAAAGCUUUUGCGGUGUGGGAUGGGCCCGCGGCCUACCAGCUUGUUGGUGGGGUGAUGGCCUCCCAAGGCGACGACGGGUAGCCGGCCUGAGAGGGUGACCGGCCACACUGGGACUGAGAUACGGCCCAGACUCCUACGGGAGGCAGCAGUGGGGAAUAUUGCACAAUGGGCGCAAGCCUGAUGCAGCGACGCCGCGUGAGGGAUGACGGCCUUCGGGUUGUAAACCUCUUUCAGCACCGACGAAGCGCAAGUGACGGUAGGUGCAGAAGAAGGACCGGCCAACUACGUGCCAGCAGCCGCGGUAA